Molecule: ribosomal RNA, 305 nt
Filed under: uncultured bacterium
Lineage: Bacteria
Description: bacterial SSU rRNA
Rfam family: Bacterial small subunit ribosomal RNA
Source: RNAcentral
GUGCCCUCGGGGGGCAGCAGUGAGGAAUAUUGGUCAAUGGGCGGGAGCCUGAACCAGCCAAGUCGCGUGAGGGAAGACGGUCCUAUGGAUUGUAAACCUCUUUAGGCGGGGAGCAAUGCCGGGCACGUGUGCCCGGAGGGAGAGUACCCGCAGAAUAAGCAUCGGCUAACUCCGUGCCAGCAGCCGCGGUAAUACGGAGGAUGCGAGCGUUAUCCGGAUUUAUUGGGUUUAAAGGGUGCGUAGGCGGACUGUUAAGUCAGCGGCAAAAGCCCGGGGCUCAACCCCGGCGAGCCGUUGAAACUGGC